Molecule: ribosomal RNA, 155 nt
Filed under: Umbilicaria semitensis
Lineage: Eukaryota; Fungi; Ascomycota; Lecanoromycetes; Umbilicariales; Umbilicariaceae
Description: 5.8S ribosomal RNA
Rfam family: 5.8S ribosomal RNA
About the family: 5.8S ribosomal RNA (5.8S rRNA) is a component of the large subunit of the eukaryotic ribosome. It is transcribed by RNA polymerase I as part of the 45S precursor that also contains 18S and 28S rRNA. Functionally, it is thought that 5.8S rRNA may be involved in ribosome translocation.
Source: RNAcentral
CUUUCAACAACGGAUCUCUUGGUUCUGGCAUCGAUGAAGAACGCAGCGAAAUGCGAUAAGUAAUGUGAAUUGCAGAAUUCAGUGAAUCAUCAAAUCUUUGAACGCACAUUGCGCCCCCUGGUAUUCCGGGGGGCAUGCCUGUUCGAGCGUCAUUA